CGGAUUGUAGGCUGAAACUCGCCUACAUGAAGCUGGAAUUGCUAGUAAUCACAGGUCAGCAUACUGUGGUGAAUACGUUCCCGGGCCUUGUACACACCGCCCGUCACACCAUGAGAGUUGAGAAUACCCGAAGCCCAUGUCAAAGUGGUCGAAGGUAGGCUUGAUGAUUGGGGUGAAGUCGUAACAAGGUACC
Molecule: ribosomal RNA, 193 nt
Filed under: uncultured bacterium
Lineage: Bacteria
Description: partial 16S ribosomal RNA
Rfam family: Bacterial small subunit ribosomal RNA
Source: RNAcentral